GGGCGUCUCUAUCUCAUUGCGAGAGGAGGCGCACUUAGAGCGUACACGCUGAUACCCGAAAGAUGGUGAACUAUGCCUGGCCAGGACGAAGCCAGGGGAAACCCUGGUGGAGGUCCGCAGCGAUUCUGACGUGCAAAUCGAUCGUCGGAGCUGGGUUUAGGGGCGAAAGACCAAUCGAACCAUCUAGUAGCUGGUUCCCUCUGAAGUUUCCCUCAGGAUAGCUUGCGCUCGAACGAAACGAGUCUCAUCCGGUAGAGCGAAUGAUUAGAGGCCUUGGGGUCGAAACGACCUCAACCUAUUCUCAAACUCCAAAUAGAUGAGAACCCCGGCUUUCUUGAACAUUGUUUAUGAAGCCGGGGGAUCGGAUCAGAGUGCCAAGUGGGCCAAUUUU
RNAcentral lists this ribosomal RNA (391 nucleotides) under Loristes decoratus. RNAcentral describes it as "eukaryotic LSU rRNA". It matches the Rfam family "Eukaryotic large subunit ribosomal RNA", at positions 763 to 1138 of the family's 3401-position model. The record is from RNAcentral. Lineage: Eukaryota; Metazoa; Arthropoda; Insecta; Hemiptera; Miridae.